CCUACGGGAGGCAGCAGUAGGGAAUAUUGCACAAUGGGGGAAACCCUGAAGCAGCAACGCCGCGUGGAGGAUGAAGGUUUUCGGAUCGUAAACUCCUUUUGUUAGAGAAGAUAAUGACGGUAUCUAACGAAUAAGCACCGGCUAACUCCGUGCCAGCAGCCGCGGUAAUACGGAGGGUGCAAGCGUUACUCGGAAUCACUGGGCGUAAAGAGCGCGUAGGCGGGAUAGCAAGUCAGAUGUGAAAUCCUAUGGCUUAACCAUAGAACUGCAUUUGAAACUGUUAUUCUAGAGUAUGGGAGAGGUAGGUGGAAUUCUUGGUGUAGGGGUAAAAUCCGUAGAGAUCAAGAGGAAUACUCAUUGCGAAGGCGACCUGCUAGAACAUAACUGACGCUGAUGCGCGAAAGCGUGGGGAGCAAACAGGAUUAGAUACCCCGGUAGUC
RNAcentral lists this ribosomal RNA (440 nucleotides) under uncultured bacterium. Its description in RNAcentral is "partial 16S ribosomal RNA". It matches the Rfam family "Bacterial small subunit ribosomal RNA", at positions 338 to 795 of the family's 1533-position model. The record is from RNAcentral.